UUAGAUUCUCGGCGUCAGGCUGAGUAACACGUGGAUAAUCUACCUUAAGGCGGGGGAUAACUUCGGGGAACUGAAGAUAAUACCCCAUAGGCAAUGGAUACUGGAAUGUUCCUUUGCUGAAAGUUCCGACGCCUUAGGAUGAGUCCGCGGCGGAUUAGGUUGUUGGUAGGGUAAUGGCCUACCAAGCCAUCGAUCCGUAGGGGCCGUGAGAGCGGUAGCCCCCAGACGGGAACUGAGACAAGGUCCCGAGCCCUACGGGGUGCAGCAGGCGCGAAACCUCCACAAUGCCCGCCAGGGUGAUGGGGGAACUCCGAGUGCAGUUGGGUUUAACCAACUGCUUUUCUGAAUUGUAAAAAGUUUCAGGAAUAAAGACUGGGUAAGACCGGUGCCAGCCGCCGCGGUAACACCGGCAGUCUGAGUGGUGACCGCUUUUAUUGGGCCUAAAGCGUUCGUAGCCGGACCUGUAGGUCUCUAGGUAAAUCUGGCGGCUUAACCGUCGGACUUCUAGAGAUACCUUAGGUCUUGGGGCUGGGAGGGGUUGCGAGUACUCCAGGGGUAAAGGUGAAAUUUUCU
Molecule: ribosomal RNA, 573 nt
Filed under: uncultured archaeon
Lineage: Archaea
Description: bacterial SSU rRNA
Rfam family: Archaeal small subunit ribosomal RNA
Source: RNAcentral